This 397-nucleotide ribosomal RNA is filed under the name uncultured bacterium. Its description in RNAcentral is "partial 16S ribosomal RNA". It matches the Rfam family "Bacterial small subunit ribosomal RNA", at positions 523 to 918 of the family's 1533-position model. The record is from RNAcentral.
AUACGUAGGUGGCGAGCGUUGUCCGGAAUGAGUGGGCGUAAAGGGCGCGUAGGCGGCGCGGUAAGUCUGGAGUGAAAGUCCUGCUUUCAAGAUGGGAAUUGCUUUGGAUACUGUCGGGCUUGAGUGCAGGUGAGGGAAGUGGAAUACCCAGUGUAGCGGUGAAAUGCGUAGAGAUUGGGAGGAACACCAGUGGCGCAGGCGACUUACUGGACUGUAACUGACGCUGAGGCGCGAAAGUGUGGGGAGCAAACAGGAUUAGAUACCCUGGUAGUCCACACUGUAAACGAUGAAUGCUAGGUGUAGGGGGUAUCGACCCCUUCUGUGCCGCAGUCAACACAAUAAGCAUUCCGCCUGGGGAGUACGGCCGCAAGGUUGAAACUCAAAGGAAUUGACGAGG